Molecule: ribosomal RNA, 283 nt
Filed under: uncultured prokaryote
Description: partial 16S ribosomal RNA
Rfam family: Bacterial small subunit ribosomal RNA
Source: RNAcentral
UACGUAGGGGGCUAGCGUUAUCCGGAAUUACUGGGCGUAAAGGGUGCGUAGGUGGUUUCUUAAGUCAGAGGUGAAAGGCUACGGCUCAACCGUAGUAAGCCUUUGAAACUGGGAAACUUGAGUGCAGGAGAGGAGAGUGGAAUUCCUAGUGUAGCGGUGAAAUGCGUAGAUAUUAGGAGGAACACCAGUUGCGAAGGCGGCUCUCCGGACUGUAACUGACACUGAGGCACGAAAGCGUGGGGAGCAAACAGGAUUAGAUACCCGUGUAGUCCCUGAGCGGGCU